Molecule: long non-coding RNA, 2620 nt
Filed under: Heterocephalus glaber (naked mole-rat)
Lineage: Eukaryota; Metazoa; Chordata; Mammalia; Rodentia; Bathyergidae
Description: lncRNA (ENSHGLG00000042477.1)
Source: RNAcentral
CAAAAAGUAUAUCUCAAGCCCUCUUUUACUCUUUAUUUUUGAGACAGGGUCUUGCUAAGUUACUAAGUUGCCCAGGAUGGUUUUGAACUUAUGAUCCUCCUGUCUCAGCCUCCCAGAGUCUGAGAUCACAGAAAUUGUCUAGUGGAAUACACUGAUGACUGCAAGAAUGAUGGAGGCUCCAUGAACCACAGUGUGACUAAGAAAACAUGAGUUGAAGCACUUUGGAGUGUGUCAAUGAGAGUGUGGAAACACACAGGGGAGUGUGUUCUGAGCGUCCAUAACCUGCACAAAUGGUGAGAUAAUACAAACAGAGGAGACAACACCUUCUGGAUCACCCAGGGACCAGGACAACUACAUCAAGAAAAGGCUUGACAACUACAUCAAGAAAAGGCUUCACAACUCUACUCACAGUAGAUGGACUUGUUCUCUGUAUGGUGUUCCAUACUGCUUCACAAAACCUAGGAAGCAUAAAUCUGCCAGAUAUCUUGUUUGAUUCCCCACAGUGUCUUCUGAUGCAUACCUCAGAAAAUCAGGGGGUGCAGUGAUGUGAGCAGGACAGAAGAAGUUGAUGGAGCAAUAAUGCAUACAGCAAGCCUUUCGUGUAUUUCAAUAAUGUUCUGUAACUCUGCCCUCUGUAGAUCUCUAUAUAAGGCUGCUCCCAUUUCAACUCAGGGCUCAGAAUUCAGAGUGGAUAAAUGCCUCUGAGCCAACCAGCAAUAAAAGUUUUCUCCAUCUCUUCUAAUAACUUUCAGAUUUUGAAUUUUCUAAUUGCUGGCGUGAUAGCACUUGAGCUGUAGUACUUGAGUUGUAACACAGAGCUAUAACACUUGGCUGUAACACUGAGCUGUUCUGUUUUGCCACACCAUCUUAUACUUCUGUCUAGUUCUGAAUUUGCCUCUGAAUCUAAGCUAGUUUGUGAUAACCACACAACCAGUGUGCCUGUAACAUAAUUUGUGUGUAACCAUAUAGUGUAAUAACCAUCCAGCCUGCAUGCCAAAAAACUCUUGUGAACCCAUUUGAUAAACAUAAAAAUUUGUUUUCCUCGGGCAGAGAAGCUCAGCUGAUCCCAGCACCCGGAAGGAAGCUCCCUGCCUCCAUCCCAGGCUCCUAGGGCAGAGAAGGUGAGCUGGUCCCAGCACCCGGAAGGAAGCUCCUUGCCUCCAUCCCAGGCUCCUAGGGCAGAGAAGCUCAGCUGGUCCCAGCACCUGGAAGGAAGCUCCCCCACCGCCAUCUCAAGCUCCUAGGGCAGAGAAGGUGAGUUGCGUGGGCGCCAGAAGCACACCCCACACCCCCGCCGUGGAAAUGAGAAGACACAUAAACAAACCUCAAAAACAGACUUCCAGAUCACCUACAGCAACCCCAAAGGGAAACAAGAUGGAACAAUCUGAUACUCAACCACCUGGACUCUCUGAACUGGCAACAACAGAGGAUCUGGGAAAAAUGAAAUCAGAAAUAAUUACUCAGAUAACAGCAAAGAUUUUGCUCGUGGUGCAAGCCAUGAGUAAUAAAUCUAGAGAGGACACAGAUAAAAAAACAGAGGAUCUGAGGAACAUGAUGGAAUCCCAACAUAGGAAACAAAUGGAAUCCAUAAAACAGAUACAAACAGAUUUCCAAGAGAUUAAAAACUCCAUCAAAAGUCUACGCAGCAGAAUGAACCAAUGUGAGGAUAGAAUUUCACAUAUAGAAGAUAAGAUUGCAAUUAGCAACCAGGAAAAGAAAAAUUGCUUCAAAAUUGUAAAGGAACACAAGAAAUCAAUCCAGCAGCUGCUAGAUGAUGCAAAGAAGAAUAAUAUAAGACUGACUGGAGUCAAUGAAGAAAGAGGAGACAGUGCAGAUGACAUAAAAAAACUGUUCACAGAAGUGAUGGCAGAAAACUUCCUAAGGAGGGGGAAAGAACUUGACAUACAGAUAAGUGAGGCAUAUAGUACUCCAGCUAGCCUUAAUCAAAAAAACAAUCUACACAUAGGCAUAUAAUAGUUAGGAUUCCAGAAAUCCAACAGAAGAACAAAAUUCUACAAGCAGUGAGAGAAAAGAAACAAAUCACAUACAAAGGAAAGCCCAUCAGAAUCACAGCAGACUUCUCAAUGCAAACCCUCAAGGCAAGAAGAGCUUGGAGUGAUGUAUUUCAAGCCCUAAAGGAAAACAGCCUCCAACCCAGAGUGAUGUACCCUGCAAAACUAUCUUUCAAAAUUGAUGGAGAAAUAAGAUACUUUCAUGAUAAAGAGCACCUCAGGAACUUCAUGAAUACCAAACCGGCACUCCAAAAAAUUUUAGACAAUACCCUAGGAAAAGACAAUGAGGAUCACAACCCCAGGAAACCCAGCAGAAUGAAUCCACUGGGCAUGACAAAUUAAACACAAAGUGGGAGAAUCCAACAAAAAGAAAAAGUCAUGACAAGGCUUUUAAAACUUUUAACUUCAUCUCCCUAAUAAGUGUAUAAUUCAAUCUUGUUAUUGUACUGAUUAGUAUUUUUCUGAUUCUAGAGUUGCACACCAUUCCUUGUGCUAUACUGGCUAUUUAUCAUCUUCUUAUGUCUACAUUUUAAUUGGGUUGUCUAUUAAUGAGCUCUAAGAAUUCUUUAUAUAUUCUGGUCAUAGGUUAUAUCUAUUGUAAAUGUGGU